This 2347-nucleotide non-coding RNA is filed under the name Pongo abelii (Sumatran orangutan). The record is from RNAcentral. Lineage: Eukaryota; Metazoa; Chordata; Mammalia; Primates; Hominidae.
AGACUCACUUGUACAUGUGUGAAAUGACAACACUUCAGAGCCGCUCAGCUUAUAACAGCAAAAGCUUGGAAAUGGCCUGAAUGCCUAUCAAGAGGGCACUGGUUAAAGAAACGAUUGUCCCUCCAAACAACAGAAUUCUGUGCAGCAGACGGCGCCUGAGCGAUCUUUGAGAACUACUGCAGAUGCCUGGCCCAGCUCUGGCCCCAGUGCCACCUGCAUGCCAAGUGCUUCAUUAGCCGGGAAAGAAGACUCUCGCCCUCCUUCGUCUAAUCCUCGCCAGUAACCUUCAGGAGCCAGGCACCUUCUGACGUUGGGGGCCUGGGACGGUGCAAUCAUCAAUUACGCCAUGGCCUCCGCAGCUGUUCCCGGAUGGAUUUCUUGCUCAGAGAAGCGUGUUUGAAAAGCAUCUAAUGGAACGGAUCAUCAAUUUGUUUGAGUACACAUCUAAUCUGAUUAGGGGGGCACUGGCCACCAGGGCAGCUAGUGCAACUGAGCCUUGACAUGGCCCCAGGGAAUUGUAAGUGGGGUGGCGGGGCCAGUCUGGGGAAGGAGGGUUGUGUGCCCUGGGCCUGCCACCGAGCCCUCCUUGAGCUCAGCCCAUGGUACGUCCAGCCAAAAAAGUCACAGAGAAAAGCAGAACACAUCACACAGAUGCCAGGAGAGCUGGGCCUAUGCCUCCUGCUUUUCUAUAGCCCUGGCACUGGGCACAGAGCCUGGGACAAAGAAGAUGCUUGGGAAAUAUGUGGUGAAUGAAUGACAAUAAGGCCCAACAUGGAAGCCAAGGGAUGUUAAUAAAGUCAUCUGCGGGACAAGACUAGGUGAUGCCUGUAUUGGGUUGAAUAUAUCUCCCCCAAAUUCAUGUCCUUCCCAAAACCUCAGAAUGUGACCUGAUUUGGAAAUCAAGUCUUUGGAGAUGUAGUGUGUUAAGAUGAGGUCACGCUGGAGUAGGAUGGGCCUUCCAUGACUGGUGUCUUGGUAGGAGGAGAAGAAACACAGGGAAAGAGACACACAAGGAGAAGACAAGAGCCAAGUAAAGACAGAGGCAGGGACUGAAGCGAUGCAUCUACCAGCCAGGAAACGCCAAGGACUGCUGGGAGCCACCAGGCAGGCCUAGGACGGGGGCAGGACAGAGCCUCCUGUUGAGCCUGCAGAAAGAGCAUGCCCCUGUCACCUUGAUUUCAGACUUCUGCCCUCCAGAACCAUGACAGAAUAGAUUUCUGUUGUUUAAAGCCACCCAGCUUAUAGUACUUUGUCAUGGCAGCCCAGGAAACUCAUGCGAUGCCUACAGGAAGCUUUGUCCGUCAUUCCACAGAAGGCAGCAUGGCAGAGAACCAGAAGGAAGUCCGAGCCCUGCCUCGCUGGACGUAGCUGGUCCUUCCCAGACACACCACGUGCGCCAUGCCACUCUCUUCCCUGGGGAGCCCUUUCUUUCCUUCUUUACCAGGAAAACGUUGGUGUUCAAUCCAUGUUAAUUCCUGUCCAGCACCCCUUCAAAGCUCAGAUGCCACAUCCUCUGUAACUCUUCUCCAGAUGUCCUCCUCAGAUUCCUGAGAUCCCCUCCCUCCCAGCAUGCUUGGUGAUUCCCAUGCUACGUCCCCCACUGCUGGGCACACUGGGGCUCCCUCAUUUCCCUAGUGCCAGAGCCUGGCAACAGCCUGGCCUGCAGAAGAGCCCAGAUCCAUGAGAAAGUGGGCAAGCAAACUUGCUGUGGACCAGCGGGUCCCUCCCCUCUUGGGAGCGGACCAGACUGGAGGUCAUAAAGUUCCCUACCAGCCCUGACAUUAUAAGAGCCUAGUAGCCCUCUGGGGGAUGACCUUACUGGGCCCUGUAAUAGGACCACCUGGGUUCAAACCCAGUGGACUCUGCCACUCACAAGCUGUGUGUCCCUGGGCAUCACUCUGUAACUCUGCUGCACCUCUUCUGAAAAAUAAGGAUAGUAGUGCCUACCUCGUAGGCCUAUGGAAAGGGGUAAGUGCUUUGACCAGUGCCUGGUACAGAGAAAGAGCCCUUGAAAAGGAGGCUGUUACUAUUCCUCAUCUUGGCUUGGUGUAGCCUCUGCAAGCCCAUCUCAUAGCUGGGGCCUCCUGUUUGAACCACACAGGUAAACAGGGCCAAAGCACCUCCAACCUUGCAUGGAAAAAAGACAGUUCUCAUUUCCAAUAGGUUUAUUUUGCAAUUAACAGAGGGGAAGGGAGCUCUUUCUUACAUUUCCCUUGGAGGAUUCAGAGAUUAAACUUAUACCAUUGAUUAGAAUGUUUUGGCCUAACAGUGCUGGUAUCAUUUUAGUGUAUUCAGAUUCAUUUGAGCUAUAAAAGUGGCGUAAUAAAAUGUUCACUAACUCCUGGAA